CAACUGCAACCGCACGUUUUAAGUUUAAGUGUUCAUAUGAACCACUAAAUUACGGCGAGUCUAAGGAU
Molecule: small RNA, 68 nt
Filed under: Ligilactobacillus aviarius
Lineage: Bacteria; Bacillati; Bacillota; Bacilli; Lactobacillales; Lactobacillaceae
Also listed under: 1 other name
Source: RNAcentral